This 253-nucleotide ribosomal RNA is filed under the name uncultured bacterium. RNAcentral describes it as "partial 16S ribosomal RNA". It matches the Rfam family "Bacterial small subunit ribosomal RNA", at positions 524 to 776 of the family's 1533-position model. The record is from RNAcentral.
UACGUAGGGCGCAAGCGUUGUCCGGAAUUAUUGGGCGUAAAGAGCUCGUAGGCGGCCUGUUGCGUCCGCUGUGAAAUCCCGGGGCUUAACCCCGGGCUUGCAGUGGAUACGGGCAGGCUGGAGGCAGGCAGGGGAGAACGGAAUUCCCGGUGUAGCGGUGAAAUGCGCAGAUAUCGGGAGGAACACCGGUGGCGAAGGCGGUUCUCUGGGCCUUACCUGACGCUGAGACGCGAAAGCGUGGGGAGCGAACCGG